UAAUACAUUGACUGUAAGUCGCUCUGGAUAAGAGCUUCUGCUAAAUAACUAAAA
Molecule: non-coding RNA, 54 nt
Organism: Salmo salar (Atlantic salmon)
Lineage: Eukaryota; Metazoa; Chordata; Actinopteri; Salmoniformes; Salmonidae
Source: Rfam